GACGAACGCUGGCGGCGUGCUUAACACAUGCAAGUCGGACGCUGAAGCUCAGCUUUUGUUGGGUGGAUGAGUGGCGAACGGGUGAGUAACACGUGAGUAACCUGCCCCCUUCUUUGGGAUAACGCCCGGAAACGGGUGCUAAUACUGGAUAUUCACUGGUCUUCGCAUGGGGGUUGGUGGAAAGGGUUUUUCUGGUGGGGGAUGGGCUCGCGGCCUAUCAGCUUGUUGGUGGGGUGAUGGCCUACCAAGGCUUUGACGGGUAGCCGGCCUGAGAGGGUGACCGGUCACAUUGGGACUGAGAUACGGCCCAGACUCCUACGGGAGGCAGCAGUGGGGAAUAAUGCACAAUGGGCGCAAGCCUGAUGCAGCGACGCCGCGUGAGGGAUGGAGGCCUUCGGGUUGUGAACCUCUUUCGCUCAUGGUCAAGCCGCAACAAUGGUUGUGGUGAGGGUAGUGGGUAAAGAAGCGCCGGCUAACUACGUG
This 483-nucleotide ribosomal RNA is filed under the name uncultured bacterium. RNAcentral's name for it is "partial 16S ribosomal RNA". It matches the Rfam family "Bacterial small subunit ribosomal RNA", at positions 28 to 507 of the family's 1533-position model. The record is from RNAcentral.